RNAcentral lists this ribosomal RNA (654 nucleotides) under Latronema whataitai. RNAcentral describes it as "eukaryotic LSU rRNA". It matches the Rfam family "Eukaryotic large subunit ribosomal RNA", at positions 365 to 921 of the family's 3401-position model. The record is from RNAcentral. Lineage: Eukaryota; Metazoa; Nematoda; Chromadorea; Chromadorida; Selachinematidae.
UGAAAAGAACUUUGAAGAGAGAGUUUAAGAGGACGUGAAACCGAUUGGAAGCAAGAAAAAGGAGCUGAAUAUGGUUACAGCUGUGUUCAACAGACAAUGGCGGAAUCUGUAUGUUAGUGACGUCCAAGUCUGUGCUGUCGCAGCUUAUCAGGCCGGUUGUUUUGGCAUUUCUAUAGCGAGUAUGGAGUUGGUGUCUGGCGUUACCAGCUACUCGCUUCAAACGUUGCUUGGGAGGAUGCCGAGACCCAAAUGUGUAGAAUGGCGGAUGCCUGCAUGGAGUAGUCAAUUGGCUGUCAUUCUUGAUGACUUAACAGCUGCGUCAGCGGGUUGUCCGAAUACACGUAGCCGGCGAUUAUCAUUUGUCCUUUUGCCCCGUCUUGAAACACGGACCAAGGAGUCCAGCAUGUGCGCGAGCAAAUCAGGGUGUUAUCCUGAAUCGCAGAAUGAAAUUGAUGUAUAUUUGGAGAGUAGGUGAAAGGCUGCCCGCACAAACGUCAUGUCUGUCUCGUUUCGUCGAGAAGGCGUAGAAAGAGUGGACAUGCUGGGACCCGAAAGAUGGUGAACUAUGCAUGAGCGGGAUGAAGCCAGAGGAAACUCUGGUGGAAGUCCACAGCAGUUCUGACGUGCAAAUCGAUUGUCAGACUUGUGUAUAGG